Molecule: unclassified non-coding RNA, 1013 nt
Filed under: uncultured Bordetella sp.
Lineage: Bacteria; Pseudomonadati; Pseudomonadota; Betaproteobacteria; Burkholderiales; Alcaligenaceae
Description: partial 16S-23S ribosomal RNA intergenic spacer
Rfam family: Bacterial small subunit ribosomal RNA
Source: RNAcentral
CCGUGCAACUGACGGUACCUGCAGAAUAAGCACCGGCUAACUACGUGCCAGCAGCCGCGGUAAUACGUAGGGUGCAAGCGUUAAUCGGAAUUACUGGGCGUAAAGGUGCGCAGGCGGUUCGGAAAGAAAGAUGUGAAAUCCCAGAGCUUAACUUUGGAACUGCAUUUUUAACUACCGAGCCAGAGUGUGUCAGAGGAGUGGACCCGCGCAGUGAAAUGCGUAGAUAUGCGGAGGAACACCGAUGGCGAAGGCAGCCUCCUGGGAUAACACUGAUCGCUCAUGCACGAAAGCGUGGGGAGCAAACAGAUUAGAUACUCCUGCAGUCUGCAUUGCCCUAAACGAUGUCAACUAGCUGUUGGGGUCUUUCGGGCCUUGGUAGCGCAGCUAACGCGGGUAAGUUGACCGCCUGGGGAGUACGGUCGAUUAAAACUCAAAGGAAUUGACGGGGACUCCACAAGCGGUGGAUGAUGUGGAUUAAUUCGAUGCAACGCGAAAACCUUACCUACCCUUGACAUGUCUGGAAUCCCGAAGAGAUUUGGGAGUGCUCGCAAGAGAACCGAACACAGGUGCUGCAUGGCUGUCGUCAGCUCGUGUCAGGAGAUGUUGCUGUCUCGCAACGAGCGCAACCCUUGUCAUUAGUUGCUACGAAAGGGCACUCUCUAAUGAGACUGCCGGUGACAAACUGGAGGAAGUGGGGAUGACGUCAGUCCUCAUGGCCCUUAUGCAGGGGCUUCACACGUCAUACAAUGGUCGGGACAGAGGGUCGCCAACCCGCGAGGGGGAGCCAAUCCCAGAAACCCGAUCGUAGUCCGGAUCGCAGUCUGCAACUCGACUGCGUGAAGUCGGAAUCGCUAGUAAUCGCGGAUCAGCAUGUCGCGGUGAAUACGUUCCCGGGUCUUGUACACACUGCCCGUCACACCAUGGGAGUGGGUUACCAGAAGUAGUUAGCCUAACCGUAAGGAGGGCGAUUACUACGGUAGAUUCAUGACUGGGGUGAAGUCGUAACAAGGUAA